GGGGCUGCAGCUCAGUGGCAGAGUGCCUGCCUAGCAUGUGUGGGGCACUGGGUUCGAUCCUCAGCAGCACCA
Molecule: transfer RNA, 72 nt
Filed under: Ictidomys tridecemlineatus (thirteen-lined ground squirrel)
Lineage: Eukaryota; Metazoa; Chordata; Mammalia; Rodentia; Sciuridae
Description: Spermophilus tridecemlineatus (thirteen-lined ground squirrel) tRNA
Rfam family: tRNA
About the family: Transfer RNA (tRNA) molecules are approximately 80 nucleotides in length. Their secondary structure includes four short double-helical elements and three loops (D, anti-codon, and T loops).
Source: Rfam by way of RNAcentral